This 253-nucleotide ribosomal RNA is filed under the name uncultured bacterium. RNAcentral's name for it is "partial 16S ribosomal RNA". It matches the Rfam family "Bacterial small subunit ribosomal RNA", at positions 524 to 776 of the family's 1533-position model. The record is from RNAcentral.
UACGUAGGGUGCUAGCGUUGCUCGGAAUUACUGGGCGUAAAGGGCGCGUAGGCGGAUAUCUAAGUUGGGGGUGAAAUCCCGGGGCUCAACCUCGGAAUUGCCUUCAAAACUGGAUAUCUUGAGUUCGGGAGAGGUGAGUGGAACUCCGAGUGUAGAGGUGAAAUUCGUAGAUAUUCGGAAGAACACCAGUGGCGAAGGCGACUCACUGGCCCGAUACUGACGCUGAGGCGCGAAAGCGUGGGGAGCAAACAGG